AGUGAAAAAAAGUUUCUCUAAAUGAAGAAAAAAAAGAGUGAAGGAAUAAAAAAAAGAGAAUUUAAAUGAAUUUAAAUGACGACAUUAAAAAAUACACACUGAAGGUCUGUGCAGUCUCAGGUUUGGACUAACACACUCCUGCUUUAGUGUAAUGGAUGACAGUGUCACACACACGGAGCGCUGUUUAACUUCAACCACUCUGUGUGUGUGUGUGUGUGUGUGUGUGUGUGUGUGUGUGUGUGUGUGUGUGUGUCAAAUCCAUCCAUCACACCUGAGUGACGCUGAUUGCUCACAGGAAGCGCCCGUGGCCUUACUGCUUCCUGAUUGGCCCGUCCCUGUGGGCUCCCAACAUGCACUGGGGUUAAACAGUGAGACUUAGAAUAACACGUGGAUUAAAUGAGUUUCUACGAAUAAAAACAGACUCUGGACUGAAACGGGAACUCAAACAGCUUCUUGUUUGACCGCUGACACGAUCUGGAGGAACUUUACAGAAGAUCUACAACGACCCAGGUGACCUUCGCAGUUAACGCAGAAAUGACAACUUCAGAAACAUGUCCAAAAAUCCAAAUCUGCCCUGAGAUGGUCGAAACAAAGCCCGACAAAUAACCACUGAGCUGACUCUGACUUUGAGGCUCAGAAAACACAAGUCCUCGGCCUCACAGACCCUCUGCUCGGGUCUCCUGAGAUGAAGACCACAUUACUCCUGACAUCCACACCUUUUCUUCACCAUUAGGAGAGUCCUGAUCCAGUUCAGCCCCUCUACAGUUACUCCCUGAUCUCUAAGUAUCUGGUUUUCCAUCUGAACAGUGCGGUUAGUGUCAGCUCUUCUUCUCUGGUCUGUCAGUGAUAAAGCUGUUAAACUUGGUCUCCUACAGAUCUGAAGAACUUCCACCAAACACUCAGAUUCAUUUACAUUAUCUGAGUUUUUGUGCGUUUGUUGUUAUUAAAGUUCAGGUUUUUUUCUUUGCAGCAUGUUUCCACUGUCAUGUUUGUUUUGGACGUUUCUCCUGAUGACGAUGGUUCAGAUCAUCUGCCUUUUUCCCAGGUGGACUUUUAAAAAACAUGUAAACACAUUAGUCUGAGUGAAAUUACACUCAGCUGAGCUCCUCAUCGUCCAAACCGAGAUAAAGUGUCAGGACUCAGACGGCUGCAAACAAACUGGGUCAAAGUCUGUCCGCUCAAAGUUCUCAGACUGUUAUUUUUACAGGAUCCCUUCAGAAAUAAACCUUUUAGUUCAAGAGGACGUUGUUUCAUUUUAGGCCGGAAACAACCUUUGAACCGCUCUGCUCAAGGCCACCAGACACUGUUAACAAACACGUCCUACAAAACCUUAAAACUGAGUUAAAAAUCUGGAGCAACAUGAAAAUGGAGCGGCGGCUUUAAAAGGAGCGAUUUUAAGUGUUUUUAUGUGUCAGUAUUUGACAAGGUGGACAUAAUCGAUAAAUCUAAAUAAAAUUUAUGAAUAAAGAAAAAACAUCUGUGUGUGUGUGUGUGUGUGCUCAGAAAGCAGAAAAUUAAAAUAUAAAUGCAUGAAACAGCGAGAACAACACGGGUUAUUUCUUUAUGAUAAUACAAACAAACUGACGGCCAACACAAAGAGAGAGCAUGAAAAAUCACAUUCAUUAGGGGCACACACACACACACACACACACACACGCACACACACACUGACCUGGACCACAGUGUUGUCUGGAUAAACUACAUCAAUGUAUUCCUCUG
This 1719-nucleotide long non-coding RNA is filed under the name Xyrichtys novacula (pearly razorfish). Lineage: Eukaryota; Metazoa; Chordata; Actinopteri; Labriformes; Labridae. The record is from RNAcentral.